CCUACGGGAGACUGCAGUAGGGAAUCUUUCACAAUGGGCGAAAGCCUGAUGGAGCAACGCCGCGUGCAGGAUGAAGGCCUUCGGGUUGUAAACUGCUUUUAUAAGCGAGAAAUAUGAUGGUAACUUAUGAAUAAGGAUCGGCUAACUACGUGCCAGCAGCCGCGGUCAUACGUAGGAUCCGAGCAUUAUCCGGAGUGACUGGGUGUAAAGAGUUGCGUAGGUGGCAUAAUAAGUAGCUAGUAAAAUCUGGUGGCUCAACCAUUCAGACUAUUAGCUAAACUGUUAAGCUCGAGACCGUUAGGGGUAACUGGAAUGUCUAGUGUAGGAGUGAAAUCCGUAGAUAUUAGAAGGAACACCAAUAGCGUAGGCAGGUUGCUGGGACGGUUCUGACACUAAGGCACGAAAGCGUAGGGAGCAAACGGGAUUAGAUACCCUAGUAGUC
This 442-nucleotide ribosomal RNA is filed under the name uncultured bacterium. RNAcentral's name for it is "partial 16S ribosomal RNA". It matches the Rfam family "Bacterial small subunit ribosomal RNA", at positions 338 to 795 of the family's 1533-position model. The record is from RNAcentral.